ACUGGGGUAGCUCAGUUUGUAGAGCAUGAGGCUCUUAUUCUCAGGGUUGCAGAUUCAAGCCCCACGUUGGGUA
Podarcis lilfordi (Lilford's wall lizard) is the source of this 73-nucleotide non-coding RNA. Lineage: Eukaryota; Metazoa; Chordata; Lepidosauria; Squamata; Lacertidae. The record is from the annotation of a GenBank genome assembly.